UGUAGGCAUGUUUUAUACUUUAAAUGACUUUGACCAUGUGCGUUUUGAACUCAGAUGAUUCUAGGAAAACAGACCAGUCAUCAGCCUAUGUAAGAACAACCAGCAGGACAUUGCAACACGUACUAGGUGCUUAAUAUGUUGAGUAACAGAAAUGGAUUUAGCUUACAUCAUGAGUAUUUGUAUAUUAACUCAAGCACUGAAAUUCUUAGGAAUAAGAUAUUACUGUUGUGACCGAAGCUGGGAACCACUGUUUCAGAGUUUCAGGAAUGUGGCAUCUCUAUUUGCAGGUGAAUCAAAAACUCUGGUUUUAAGCAACCUCUCCUACAGUGCAACAGAAGAAACUCUUCAGGAAGUAUUUGAGAAAGCAACUUUUAUCAAAGUACCCCAGAACCAAAAUGGCAAAUCUAAAGGGUAUGCAUUUAUAGAGUUUGCUUCAUUCGAAGACGCUAAAGAAGCUUUAAAUUCCUGUAAUAAAAGGGAAAUUGAGGGCAGAGCAAUCAGGCUGGAGUUGCAAGGACCCAGGGGAUCCCCUAAUGCCAGAAGCCAGCCAUCCAAAACUCUGUUUGUCAAAGGCCUGUCUGAGGAUACCACUGAAGAGACAUUAAAGGAGUCAUUUGACGGCUCCGUUCGGGCAAGGAUAGUUACUGACCGGGAAACUGGGUCCUCCAAAGG
RNAcentral lists this small RNA (672 nucleotides) under Pan troglodytes (chimpanzee). Its description in RNAcentral is "retained intron". Lineage: Eukaryota; Metazoa; Chordata; Mammalia; Primates; Hominidae. The record is from RNAcentral.